Molecule: ribosomal RNA, 253 nt
Filed under: uncultured bacterium
Lineage: Bacteria
Description: partial 16S ribosomal RNA
Rfam family: Bacterial small subunit ribosomal RNA
Source: RNAcentral
UACGGAGGGGGCUAGCGUUGUUCGGAAUUACUGGGCGUAAAGCGCGCGUAGGCGGACCUGCAAGUCGGGGGUGAAAGCCCGAGGCUCAACCUCGGAACUGCCUUCGAAACUAGGUAGCUAGAAUCUUGGAGAGGUCAGUGGAAUUCCGAGUGUAGAGGUGAAAUUCGUAGAUAUUCGGAAGAACACCAGUGGCGAAGGCGACUGACUGGACAAGUAUUGACGCUGAGGUGCGAAAGCGUGGGGAGCAAACAGG